AGGAAUAUUUAAACUAUUAUUUUCAUUAUUUAAUAAUCUGUUAUCAGUCAGAACCCUGGCAAACUUAUUUUCAGCAGUUUUUUUAGUGGAAGUCACAAAUAAAGGAGCUCUUGGUUUUUCCCAGCGUUACUGAGUCCAAAGCUGCUGUUUCAACACAGACACAUUCACAUGCAUCCACAAACCUCUCAGCACUCAAACACCCACAGACAGGAGGCCGGCUGGACCGAGGCUCGGCAGCGUCCUCAGACCCACGAGUCGGGGAACUUGUUGGUCCGGUUUGAAGGCCUCCGUGUGGUCCAGUAGAAGUCCACGUAGUCGGUGUUGGCUUUGAACCACAGCGACUGGCCUCCAUCAGCUGACGUGGAUGUUUGAUGGUCUUCCUCUCUAGUGCCAGAUGAUUCAUCCAUGAAUUCAGCAGCUACAGACUGAAAUGAAGCUCAUGCUGCCGUUAUUGAAUUCCUGUUCCAGAUCAAAUGUUCAGAGCUCACCUUGAAUGCAGCCGUCUGCUGUCUGAUAGUUUUUCUCAUUGUAGUCUUCAAUAAAGUCUUUUUCCUCAUGUCA
Long non-coding RNA from Amphiprion ocellaris (clown anemonefish), 561 nucleotides. RefSeq lists it as uncharacterized. The record is from RefSeq and is a predicted model, not a curated record. The transcript has 2 exons. NCBI's taxonomy places the organism in Eukaryota, Metazoa, Chordata, Actinopteri, Pomacentridae.